This 468-nucleotide ribosomal RNA is filed under the name uncultured bacterium. RNAcentral describes it as "partial 16S ribosomal RNA". It matches the Rfam family "Bacterial small subunit ribosomal RNA", at positions 28 to 507 of the family's 1533-position model. The record is from RNAcentral.
GACGAACGCUGGCGGCGUGCUUAACACAUGCAAGUCGAACGGAAAGGCCCUGCUUUUGUGGGGUGCUCGAGUGGCGAACGGGUGAGUAACACGUGAGUAACCUGCCCUUGACUUUGGGAUAACUUCAGGAAACUGGGGCUAAUACCGGAUAGGAGCUCCUGCUGCAUGGUGGGGGUUGGAAAGUUUCGGCGGUUGGGGAUGGACUCGCGGCUUAUUAGCUUGUUGGUGGGGUAGUGGCUUACCAAGGCUUUGACGGGUAGCCGGCCUGAGAGGGUGACCGGCCACAUUGGGACUGAGAUACGGCCCAGACUCCUACGGGAGGCAGCAGUGGGGAAUAUUGCACAAUGGGCGGAAGCCUGAUGCAGCAACGCCGCGUGCGGGAUGACGGCCUUCGGGCUGUAAACCGCUUUCGCCUGUGACGAAGCGUGAGUGACGGUAAUGGGUAAAGAAGCACCGGCUAACUACGUG